This 400-nucleotide ribosomal RNA is filed under the name phytoplankton environmental sample. RNAcentral describes it as "partial small subunit ribosomal RNA". It matches the Rfam family "Eukaryotic small subunit ribosomal RNA", at positions 587 to 995 of the family's 1831-position model. The record is from RNAcentral.
AGCUCCAAAGGCAUAUAUUAAAAUUGUUGCGGUUAAAAAGCUCGUAGUUGGACUGUAUCAAAGGUGGGAUGGUCUGCCCUCUGGGUAAGCAUCACACCCUUCUUUGUUAUGUUUUGUGAAAAUCUGCGUUGCGCUUGACUGUGUGGUGUGGUUGCUUGCACAUCUACUUUGAGGAAAUCAGAGUGUUCCACGCAAGUGUGCGCCAUGAAUAUAAUAGCAUGGGAUAGUCGAAUGUAUACAUAGAUAUGUUUGUUGGUUCAAAACGUGUGUUUACUAACAAGAAUAGUUGGGGGCAUCUGUAUUUGACUGUCAGAGGUGAAAUUCUUGGAUUUUUCAAAGACAAUCUACUGCAAACGCAUUUGCCAAAUAUGUUUCUAUUGAUCAAGAACGAAAGUACGCA